This is a long non-coding RNA of Pseudopipra pipra, 3008 nucleotides long. RefSeq lists it as uncharacterized. Lineage: Eukaryota; Metazoa; Chordata; Aves; Passeriformes; Pipridae. The record is from RefSeq and is a predicted model, not a curated record. The transcript is spliced from 2 exons.
AACAUGAGAUGCCUGUAUAAAUUGCUUAUAAUGAAUUUUUUCUUUCUUGUGGCUCUUCAGAUCUAACACGAUGCAGUAUUGUUUCAAUUUCUAACUUAAGGGUCAUGUGUUGUACAGCCUCUGCCUGAUGGUAUUUGAACGUUACGUGUUUUUGGGGGUUGUUUUGCUUUAGUUUACUGUAACAUUAAUUUUAAGAGCUCCACUAGGGGGGGAUGGAGGAGGGGAAUUGCCUAUGAAACCUGAACAAUACAGACAGAUGGAAAUUCUCAUUUUAAGUUACCAAUGAGUAUUCAUUCUUGGAUGAUAUUCCGAAUCUAGCCUGUAGUACUUAUCUUUGAGACAAUCAAUCUAUUGUUAUAUUUUCUAAAUAAAUUAUAAUAAAAUUUAAAAAUCAGGGAUUCUUUUGCAGGUCUACAACCACAAACUACAUAUCAGUUGAUGAAAAACCAGGUAGAGUUGUGACCAAGUUUUCCCUAGCAUUUUUGAGGCUGCGUAUUUCUGCUAAAAAGAAGAGAAUAUUGUUUUAUAUCAACUCCAAUAGCAUAAAUAUUACUGUAUUAUUUAAUAAAACAUGUUUUCUAAUUUGAACUUUGUAAUUUUUGGUUAGAAAGAGAACUGUCGACCUGAUGGAAGGGAGUUAGGUGAAUUCCAGGCAACCACUGUCAACAUAAGCCAGUGCUUAUUUGUAAUAAUAAUAAUGGGAGAGGUAUUAUUAAUAUCAGGUUAUAAUAGUGACCUUAAUGACUUCCUAAUUGGUUUUCUUGGUCCUUGCUUUGAAACAAGGAAGAGAAAGGAUUUUUAUUUACUGUUUCAGCAAGCAUGAAAGAGAAUGCAUAGUACAGUAAUAUACUUUAACAUUGUUUUCAGUCCUGAUCCUAGGCUGAUGUGCACAAUGUAAUUACUUGGGUCUGCUCCUGUCCGGGUAUGUGCAGCACAAAUUAGGUGGUUGUGGAAUCUUGUCUCUGUCUAAGGUGAGCAGUAUCUGUUACAGAUGCUUAAGGCAGCAUCAAGGCAUAUGCUGACCAGCACAAAACUGAUGCCCAAGCAUCUUGGGAGGGACAGUGAGUCCUGGCUUCUGCUGUGUUCUGAGCUUGGUGGGCAACUGCCUCGAGCAGAGGCAGAAUGAGCCAGCAAUGUGCCCUUGCUGCAAAGAAGCCAAUGUUAUCCUGGGCUGCAUUAGGCAUGGCAUUGCCAGCAGGUCAAGGGAGGUGAUUCUGCUCUCUGCUCAGCACUGGUGAGGCCACACCUGGAGUAUUGUGUCCAAUGCCAGGCAGUGUAUAGAAAUUCCUGAAGGGAGGGUGUGGGAAAGACAAAGCCAGGUUCUAUUCAUUUAUAACCAGUGACAGAACAUGAGUCAAUGGGCACAAGCUGAAACACAGAAGGUUCCCUCUGAACAUGAUGAAACACUUUUUUACUGUGAGAGUGAUGGAGCACUGGCACAGGUUGGCCAGAGAAGUUGUGAAGUUUCCUUCCUUGGAGAUAAUCAAAAGCCAUCUGGGUACACUUCUGGGCAACCAGGUGGUCCUCCUUGAGUAAAGGGUGUUGAACCAGAAGAGCUUCAGCUGUCCCAGCCUCAGCCAUUCUGUGUGAUUAACUAUUUAAUAUAGAGAUUCCAUCCCACUCUGGAUUUGAGACAUUGCUUAGGCUCUGUUUAGUAUAAAAUGAUGGAAAGUUAACACUUUGUGAAGGUAGGUGUUAAUUAAUGCUCUUUGAAUGAAAAAUAGAUUUUAUUGAACGGUACUUUUCCUCUGCAGGUUCAAUUGAUACAUUGACCUCUUUAUGUGUCCCUGCAUCACACAAAGAGCUGAUGUGUCACAGUGCAUGGGGUUAGACUUUAAAAAGCAGCAUUUUUGAACAGAGUAGCUAAGGACUUAUGUUUUUGUUACUAUUGCUAUUAAAUGGCAAUCCAAGGUUUUAAAGUUCAGCUUUAAGUUCUAGUUUUUCUUGUUGGCUUAUAGUUUAGAUCCUAUAGAUUUCCCAUUGAUUUUGCUCUAUUUUUAACUUAAAUGGUUCAAAAAUAACAGUAUUUAAUCUCUCAAAGAUAUGCAUCGUGAUGUAUAACAGUUUAUACUGGAUGUCAAACACCCCAUAAAUCCAUUUUUUUAACUAUUCCCAGACUGGGUGAUAUUAGAGUUCUCUGACAAGAAACUGAGAACUACUUUGGUGAACUUACCAUUGGAAAUGAGUUUUGCAUUAAGGUGUCUGGUAGAGAUUAGUGCAGCCUACAUCCUGUGCCAGUUUUUGUGUAACUACAAAAUAAGUGACUGCAUCCUUCAAAUGGCAGUUUAGUGGCAUUUCCCUGCAAUACAUGGAUGUCACAAAUCUAGGAAACUUCAGGCAUAAAGCUGCAUUUUCAAUAGACAUAAACACUUGAUUAUGUGGAAUCUCCUGUAUUUUUUGACUUUUUAAUUUUUUUAAAAUUGGUGCACUUUGGUAAGAAAACAGGUAAGCCUGGGCACUAAAUCCAUCUACAAGUAUUUUGUAAGACUACAGUAAAAAUUAAUGUUAUGUGUAUUUUGCAAUAAUGGUAAUGGAGCAAUACGUACAAACAUGUCUGCAUGCCUUUUCCUUUCACAAGCACAUUACUCGUUGUUGAUCCAACUGCUGAAGAUGAUGAUUUAGCAACUGGAACAGUAACCAUUGUCUGAUGAAGAAGGCAGACUCUGUUCUGUCCAUAAACCAGGUGGAAGUCCUCUUACAGAAGCCAAGCUUCAGGACUAUAUCACCAGAGCAAUUACAAGACACAAAGAAGUAAAGAAGCUGAUUGACAAAGUAAUAAAAAGUACAGUGCCCAAGUGAACAAAAUGAGAGAUCUUUUCAAAAAUGGAUUUGUAAAAAUUGUAUUUGUUACAGUGUUCACAAACCUUUUAUACUAAAUAAACAAUUACCAAUACUACCUUUACAAAGGAAGUCCGGAGAAGCAAUGCAUUAAUUUCAGGGGCAGGUGGAUAAAGCCCCUAGGAAUGUAUUGUAACAAGCUCUAAUAUUCAGUAAAGCUUAGAAACAUA